CACUGUUGUAUUCCAUUAUUUUUGGAAAACAUAUUCUAAGAAAUUUUGCAAUUUGAAAUUUCAAUUUUCUAAAAUCAGAUUUACACUUUAAAUUGAUCCGACGCUGGCCUGAAAUCCAAAGACCCUUCACCCGAAGAAACUUCUCAAUUCGUCUUCAAGGAAGUAGUUACAACAGAGACAUGGCUCUUAUUCGACGCACGGGAAAUCAACUGGUGCUCCUUGAGCUGGACAAAUCCAUGCAAGAUGAUUAUGUAUUUUAGAAUGCAGUAUUUCGCCACCUACCCAAUCUGGACAGGACUGGAAGAACUUCAGCAAACCAAGCAGAACGAGACGCGAUAGGUCAAGUGGAGCAGGAUAUAAGAUAAGACUAAAAAAGUCUUUAAUUGUUAAAUAAAUGGUGAUAUGUACAUCAUAAGUGCAGAAUACUUAAAUAGGCUAAAUGUACGGAACGCAAACAACAGUAUUUAAAUUUAUGCAUGCAAAUUUUAUUCUUCCCUGUUCUUAGUCCUGUCCAAUUGGAUUUAUUCUGUACUUCAUUUUAGGAGUUCAGGUUAAUACGGGAAUUCUAUCCUCUAGUUAAUUAUUAUCUGUAUACCCGAUAUACAAAAGAAAUUGGUUAUUUGCAUAUUUGUAAUUUUGGAAUGAUUCCGUGCACUUAGA
Long non-coding RNA from Folsomia candida, 660 nucleotides. RefSeq lists it as uncharacterized. Lineage: Eukaryota; Metazoa; Arthropoda; Collembola; Entomobryomorpha; Isotomidae. The transcript is spliced from 3 exons. The record is from RefSeq and is a predicted model, not a curated record.